This is a long non-coding RNA of Crocodylus porosus (Australian saltwater crocodile), 1814 nucleotides long. Lineage: Eukaryota; Metazoa; Chordata; Crocodylia; Crocodylidae. The record is from Ensembl.
AUGGGCGAUCGAUUGGCUAUGGCUGGCGGGGCUGAGCGCCCCCGCUUGGGACACGCCGGCACAGGCUGGAUGAGAAUGGGGAGGGAAGCUCUGCCGGGAAACGCCGCGCGGCUGCGCCGAGCCCCCGACACCCGGGGAGGUCCCUGCCCCAGUCUCUGGCCGCGCGGGGGCAGGGGGCGCAGCAGCUGCUCGGACCAGGAAGUCCCGGAUGUGCCCCCCCGCGCCGAGAAGCAGCUGUUGCCCCGUCACGUGACCGCGUACGUCACCGUCACCGCCCCCGCUGUUGUGGGGGGGGGGAGCCGUUGGUUCUUUCCCUGUGAGCCGCGCCGCCCCCAGAUAGGAACGGCCCUUCCCCCCGAGAGGGGCAUGGCCUGCGCCUGCUUAGUCCGGAGGGACGUGAGCGGGUGUGCCGGAGGGCCCGGUGGCAAGAAAAGGGGCCUCGGGGUUCACUGUCGUCUCCCUCGCAUAGACGGAAAGAGCCGCCCAGGAAAUGGAGCCAGCAGUGAGCGAAGGAAAGGAAGGGCUUGUCCUCCAGCCCGCGGCUGCGGAUGCAACUUGAGACCUCCAAGACAAAUGAUCUAGUCAUCUCCCUCUUGCUUCAUUUGUCACUGGUCUUCUGGAAAUCAGGCUAAGCUGGGGAAGAAAGAAGAGUUCUGAGUAAUUAUCUCCAUAUCUAAAAUAUUUUAUUCUUUUGCAUAAACUACAAAAAAAUUAAUACAAAUUUACCAAGAUUUUUUUAAUACCGCUAAUAUCUACUUCUAUACCAUAUCCAGUAUAUGCCCUUUACAGUCUGGCUGCCGUGUUAGUCUGAAUAUCUUUUUUGUCAUUGUAUUUGAACAAAGUUAAGCAGGUGUGUACAAUUAUGGCAUGUAAUUUUUGUUUUUAUUUUGGUGGUUCAGGGCCUGAUUCAUUGCCUUUAGUUGGAAUUGGACUAGACUGUUGAACAGCCAACCUUUCUCUAUCAUGGCUAAAGAUAUUUUUUCCAUGUCUUUUUUUUUUUUUUUUUUUUUAAAUGAAGGAUGUGCCCACUGCCUUACACCUUGUCUAGUCAUUUACACCUCCACCAAGUAGGUGAGGAAGGACUGUCAUUCUGAUCUGGUAGCCUUUAGCAUCUACUUGGUACUCUUGCGAUACAAAUAUAAAGUAAUGCCUGCAGUCACCAAGGCUAUGGGAAAAAAGGCCCCAGAGUUUUUGGAUCAGAUGCAAUGUGCAGAGUCUGAAAGAAAAGAACCACCAAUGGUUUUAUUUAAUUAUCUUCAAUCUUAUUUCUUUCCUCUUACCCUCUCUUCACCUCUCCUUUCAAAAGAUUGCCUCUACUAAGCUCUCUGUGGCAGCUAUAGUUGCUGCAAAAAUAUAUGUUUGUGUGUGUUCUUGUAAUCUCAUUCUUUUAAAUAGGUGACAUCUCAUUUAUGUGUAUUAACAGCUGAGCAUGAGUAGCAACAUUUAUUUAAAACCUCAUUUUGAGAUUUUCACAUUGCAGCAUUUUUUUCACUCAUGAUAAAGUAUUUGUUGGUUAUUUUCUAUGAGAGGGGAGAGAGAUCUGCAUUCAUUUUUCUGCCUUUGGUAUUUUCAUUCCUAGGACACUAUGCACUUCAUUGCUAAUUAAUAUUCAGUAACUGUUGUAGGGUUACAGUCAGUUGGUAUGAAUCAGAAGUAAAAUGUCGUUUUAGAAGAUCAAAAACUAUGAGGUACCUUUACUUGAUUUCCAAGGAGAACAUAUUUAAUGAAGCAGGAUAUAAUACUUACUAGAUAGUCUUGUACCACAGCAUGUAUUCUGUAAUAAAAGGCUUUUUUUCCCCCUCUUGCUGUAGUGG